Molecule: long non-coding RNA, 515 nt
Organism: Gordionus sp. m RMFG-2023
Lineage: Eukaryota; Metazoa; Nematomorpha; Gordioida; Chordodea; Parachordodidae
Exons: 5
Source: RefSeq, a predicted model, not a curated record
AUUUUAAUGUUUUUAAUAUAUAAAUAAUAAUUUUGAGAGACAGUAUUUGAUUAUUUUUAAAAUAAAUUUUAAAUAUUUAUUCGAAAAAUAUGUCUAGUUCUUUUAUUUUAUUUUUCCGCUAAUCUCCAUCCAACCAAUCCAAUCCAUUCGACAUUUUCAAAAUUUGAAGUUAGAAAAAUUCUAUAAUUGCAGUGCUCCACUCGACAUUUUCAUAGAAGAAUAGAACUUUUAGAAGUGAACAAUAAUACCAAACAGAUUUAACAACAUCAUAUUUGGUAUUGGCACCUCAACAACCUCAACUGGUAUGAAACAAAAAUCAAUUAAGAAUUUCUUCAAGAAAUCAGUGCCAGUGAUUCCUGAGGUGGUGGAACUUAAGCAUCUUUGUGAUCGUGUUCGUGUAUUGGAAACUAGUGCUUUAACCUCAAAGCAAUCUAAAUCUCAAGAAGAUGACUAUCAUGUAUUGGAAACUGCUUUAACCUCUAAACAAUCUAAAUCUCAAGAAGAUGACUAUCAUG